GAAGACAUACGCCCUCUACCUGAACCAUGUGGCGGAAACCCCCAAACAUUCAAUAGUAUGUCUCAUCUGUUUCCUUGAGAAGGGCAAGAUGAAGCAGAUACGCAAAUCAUCUGUCGAAGACCACUGCAGAAGUCUUCAUAAUACCCCUGGUAUCAAGUGCGAGAAGACUGGCUGCAUGGUCAGAGCCAAGUACAGGGGAGAUAUUGGCAAACAUAAGAAGUAUUGUCACGAUCUAAAAACCGGAUGGUGGAAGAAGCUCCGAAGACAUGAUGGAGCUUAGUGUGAUGCAAUCCAAGAAAACAAAGGUGGAGCCAUGUGUUCUGAAAGACCCCGACCGGACGUCCGACACAACCUGAUCAGAGCCGAAACGUCGGACUUCCGACAAGUACCGUACGUCCGAGCCCCCUCGAGAAUAUGAGGAAUUGUUUUUAGUGGUUUACUGCUCAUAAUGUGUAUAUAAACAGGGUUGUGAAGUUCAGUUUGUUCAUGUCGAAAACGUGAGUUUGCUACAUGGACAUAAACCUUUGCUGAUUUGUCAGCAUGUGAGUUUUAACCUCCUGCGUGAAAAGUUUUAGUGCAAUUUUUAGCUGGACAUUGUUCAAGCUUCGAGUGGCUAAUUUGACUUGUUCUGGACAGACGUUUUGUCUGCAUGAUGUUA
Aegilops tauschii subsp. strangulata is the source of this 658-nucleotide long non-coding RNA. RefSeq lists it as uncharacterized. The record is from RefSeq and is a predicted model, not a curated record. NCBI's taxonomy places the organism in Eukaryota, Viridiplantae, Streptophyta, Magnoliopsida, Poales, Poaceae.